GCCUGGUUGGCUCAUUUGGUAGAGCAUGUGACUCUUAAUCAGGGGAUGUAAGUUCUAGCCCCACAGUGGGUG
Molecule: transfer RNA, 72 nt
Filed under: Felis catus (domestic cat)
Lineage: Eukaryota; Metazoa; Chordata; Mammalia; Carnivora; Felidae
Also listed under: 1 other name
Rfam family: tRNA
About the family: Transfer RNA (tRNA) molecules are approximately 80 nucleotides in length. Their secondary structure includes four short double-helical elements and three loops (D, anti-codon, and T loops).
Source: Rfam by way of RNAcentral